AUUGAACGCUGGCGGCAUGCCUUACACAUGCAAGUCGAACGGCAGCACGGGGGCAACCCUGUGGCGAGUGGCGAACGGGUGAGUAAUACAUCGGGAACGUGCCCCGUACGCGGGGGACGAACCAGUCGAAAGAACUGGCUAAUACCGCAUACGCUCCACGGAGGAAAGCAGGGAUCGCAAGACCUUGCACUAUGGGAGCGCCGAUGCCCGAUUAGCUAGUUGGGG
Molecule: ribosomal RNA, 225 nt
Filed under: uncultured bacterium
Lineage: Bacteria
Description: partial 16S ribosomal RNA
Rfam family: Bacterial small subunit ribosomal RNA
Source: RNAcentral